UGGGAGUGUGGCGAAAUAGGUAGACGCACCAGACUUAAAAUCUGUUGACCAUGUGGUCGUAAGAGUUCAAAUCUCUUCACUCCUAU
RNAcentral lists this transfer RNA (86 nucleotides) under Caudoviricetes sp. Its description in RNAcentral is "tRNA-Leu". It matches the Rfam family "tRNA". Rfam says of the family: Transfer RNA (tRNA) molecules are approximately 80 nucleotides in length. Their secondary structure includes four short double-helical elements and three loops (D, anti-codon, and T loops). Lineage: Duplodnaviria; Heunggongvirae; Uroviricota; Caudoviricetes. The record is from RNAcentral.